This 253-nucleotide ribosomal RNA is filed under the name uncultured bacterium. RNAcentral's name for it is "partial 16S ribosomal RNA". It matches the Rfam family "Bacterial small subunit ribosomal RNA", at positions 524 to 776 of the family's 1533-position model. The record is from RNAcentral.
UACGUAGGGGGCAAGCGUUGUCCGGAAUCAUUGGGCGUAAAGCGCGCGUAGGCGGCCCGGUAAGUCCGCUGUAAAAGUCCAGGGCUCAACCCUGGAAAGCCGGUGGAUACUGUCGGGCUAGAGUCCGGAAGAGGCGAGUGGAAUUCCUGGUGUAGCGGUGGAAUGCGCAGAUAUCAGGAGGAACACCGGUGGCGAAGGCGGAUCUCUGGGCCUUACCUGACGCUGAGGCGCGAAAGCUAGGGGAGCAAACAGG